RNAcentral lists this transfer RNA (87 nucleotides) under Patescibacteria group bacterium. RNAcentral's name for it is "tRNA-Leu". It matches the Rfam family "tRNA". Rfam says of the family: Transfer RNA (tRNA) molecules are approximately 80 nucleotides in length. The record is from RNAcentral.
GCAGGUGUGGCGGAACUGGCAGACGCAUACGGUUCAGGACCGUAUGGACUUUAAAAGUCCUUAGAGGUUCAAAUCCUCUCACCUGCA